GUGGUGCUCACUUCACCACAUCUCCUAAAAUUGGAACAAUACAGAAAAGAUUAACUUGGCUCCUACCCAAGUAUGAGAUGCAAAUUUAUGAAGCAUCCCGUAUUUUU
Leptonychotes weddellii (Weddell seal) is the source of this 107-nucleotide small nuclear RNA. Lineage: Eukaryota; Metazoa; Chordata; Mammalia; Carnivora; Phocidae. The record is from RefSeq and is a predicted model, not a curated record.